UCAAAUGAUGCAAUUGCCAUAGCAACGGUGU
RNAcentral lists this non-coding RNA (31 nucleotides) under Rattus norvegicus (Norway rat). The record is from RNAcentral. Lineage: Eukaryota; Metazoa; Chordata; Mammalia; Rodentia; Muridae.